Dipodomys ordii (Ord's kangaroo rat) is the source of this 58-nucleotide non-coding RNA. The record is from Rfam. Lineage: Eukaryota; Metazoa; Chordata; Mammalia; Rodentia; Heteromyidae.
UGGCUCAGUGGUAGAGCGCAUGCCUUGCAUGCCUGAGGCCCUGGGUUCAAUUCCUCAG